UCUCCAAAUCAAUACCACUACUGCCGCUACCACAAACUCCGUCAAUGUCAUUCUCUAUUACGAAUCGCUGCCAUGACUUCUGAGGAAGAUGAAUCGCCGCCCUAACCUCACUUCACCCCUUAACUCCCUCCUCGUCAUUCACUCCGCCUCGAUUUUAGUUCAAGGAAGUCACGACUCUCACCGAAGAUCGAAGCCAUGCCGAAAGGGAGUAUAUGAUGCAUUGCAGAAGAAAUACCUGAAAACACUCUUAUUAUUUGUGUGUGAAGCAAUGGAUGGGUCCAUGAUUGAGGAAUAUGCUUGUCUUAAAGGAUGGUUGGCUUGUUGGAGCAGCAGUUCUUGGGGUUCCUGCUAAAUCAACAAUUAAAGAGGCAAAUAAUGAAUCAUUUGUUGUGAGAACUCUAAACCGGAAAACCCUAUGGGAAAUGCAAACUCCACAGCACUUGUAAUCAAGCCCGAGCCCCUUAAGAAGGGGCUUGAGCUUAUCAAUAGGGAAGGUCUUGAAGUCACAGAUGGUGUAUCUACUAUUGUGGAGCUCCUUAAACAUCCAAUCUACAUUACUGAAAGCUCUUAUGCUAACAUCAAGGUUACAACACCUGAUGAUAUGCUGCGAGCUGAGAGAAUAUUGAACGCGCGCUUCAAUUAUGCAUAAUUAAAUUGAUCCCAUAUUUUGUAUCCAUCCAUCCAUGUACAGUGAGUGAGAAUUUUGUAAUGCCAAGAUUUCAAGAUAUGUUGGCUUCCAUUUAUACUAACCAAUGAUUUUAGAUAUGAAAUAGUUUGGUUUAACCAUGAUCUAAUUUAGCAUUUUGGCUACAGUCUCAUUCAGCUAUUCAAAUUCUGAUAGCCAAGAAGUUAUGAUGAAUGUGAAUCGUAUUGAAACCAAGAAGCGAGGAACAUUCAAAUGUAAUUCAGACACUGAGAUAACUCCCAAUCAGAUGAGCAAAUUGACUGUGUGCACAACAGUACGGUCAUGGAAUUGAUGAGAGGAUUGAUUAAUCAAUUGACUGAGCUCAUAUAUGGUUUGGCUGUUCAAGAUUUGGCUCCAAUGAGCUUGGGUUUAUCUGACAGCCUUUCAAGAUACAAGCUAAUUAAAAUUUAGCCCUGAUAAGGUGGAUACAAUGAUAGUCCAAGCAAUUAGUGUAUUGGACGAUCUUGAUAAAGAACUAAACACAUAUGCAAUGAGGGUACGAGAAUGGUAUGGUUGGCAUUUUCCUGAGCUUGCAAAGAUAGUACAAGACAAUAUCCUUUAUGCCAAAACUGUGAAGUUGAUGGGUGACCGCACAAAUGCUGCAAAGCUGGACUUCUCUGAGGUACGAACCAGGUCUGCUUUAAUAGCAAACGUCUUAUCAAACGUCUCCAAAGAGAGAUCUGGCAAAACAUUGGAGCCAUAUUCGUGUGAUGUUUGUAUUCCAUGUAAAAUGUAAAUGCUAUCUCUAGAAGUUUUGGAGGAUAUGAACUACCUCUGUUUUAAAAAACUCAACCUAUUUAUAAUGUUGUGUAAUCCUAUUUCAAAUUUCAAAUCUGUAGAACAGAUGAUACCAUGGUUUGUAGAAAUGAUGAUUCUCGAUAAUGAAAGCAGGCUAUGCAUAUUAACCACGCUU
This is a long non-coding RNA of Ipomoea nil (Japanese morning glory), 1598 nucleotides long. RefSeq lists it as uncharacterized. The record is from RefSeq and is a predicted model, not a curated record. The transcript has 10 exons. Lineage: Eukaryota; Viridiplantae; Streptophyta; Magnoliopsida; Solanales; Convolvulaceae.